This 832-nucleotide ribosomal RNA is filed under the name Craterellus yunnanensis. RNAcentral describes it as "LSU rRNA". It matches the Rfam family "Eukaryotic large subunit ribosomal RNA", at positions 87 to 931 of the family's 3401-position model. The record is from RNAcentral. Lineage: Eukaryota; Fungi; Basidiomycota; Agaricomycetes; Cantharellales; Hydnaceae.
CUGCGAGUGAAGAGGGAAGAGCUCAUCAUUGGAAUCUGGCAGUGUUGCACUGUCCGAGUUGUAGAUGAGGAGUAGUCCGUCUGGACUGCAUGGCGUCCAAGUACAAUAGGCCGUCAGUGGGACAUCAUAGAGGGUGACAAUCCCGUCCUUGACGCCAAUGUGCAAGUCUAUUACGAUGGCUAUCUCAGAGAGUCGAGCAGUUUGGGAUUUGCUGCUUAAACAUGGGAGGUAGAUUCCUUCUAAAGCUAAAUACAGGCGAGAGACCGAUAGAGAACAAGUACCGCAAGGGAAAGAUGAAAUAGCACUCUGUGAAGGGAGUCAAAAGGCGUGAAAUUGUUGCGAGAGAAGCGAUUCAAGUCAGCGUAGCUAGGCCCAUCAAGCGUCUUCGCUUUGGACUAGCUUUGCCAGCGGUCUUGUCCCUUGAAGAGACUUGACUUGUAAUAUGUCCAGCCUGGCGUGCACAGGCAGCCCCUUCUGGGGGGCCAGUGGCAUGGCUGGUGGAAUGGCUUGCAAUCGACCCGUCUUGAAACACGGACCAAGGAGUCUAACAUGUAUGCGAGUAUAAGGGUGGCAAACCCGUAUGCGCAAUGAAAGUGAUUUUCGGUGAUUGAGAAUGGCCUGAUGACCAGACAAGCAAUAUAUGUCCCUCGUACGGCCAUUGCCCAAGUUCCGUGGUAGAUCCCACGAACAUGGAGUUGGAGCAUACAUGCUAGGACCCGAAAGAUGGUGAACUAUGCCUGGACAAAGCGAAGCCAAAGGAAACUCUGGUGGAGGCUUGUAGCGAUUCUGACGUGCAAAUCGAUCGUCUGAUCUGGGUAUAGGGGCGAAAGAC